CCUACGGGAGGCUGCAGUGAGGAAUAUUGGUCAAUGGACGAGAGUCUGAACCAGCCAAGUAGCGUGAAGGAUGACUGCCCUAUGGGUUGUAAACUUCUUUUAUAAAGGAAUAAAACGAGGCACGUGUGCCUUUUUGCAUGUACUUUAUGAAUAAGGAUCGGCUAACUCCGUGCCAGCCGCCGCGGUAAUACGGAGGAUCCGAGCGUUAUCCGGAUUUAUUGGGUUUAAAGGGAGCGUAGAUGGGUUGUUAAGUCAGUUGUGAAAGUUUGCGGCUCAACCGUAAAAUUGCAAUUGAUAAUGGCAGUCUUGAGUACAGUUGAGGUAGGCGGAAUUCGUGGUGUAGCGGUGAAAUGCUUAGAUAUCACGAAGAACCCCGAUUGCGAAGGCAGCUUACUAAAUUGUGACUGACAUUGAUGCUCGAAAGUGUGGGUAUCAAACAGGAUUAGAUACCCGAGUAGUC
Molecule: ribosomal RNA, 460 nt
Filed under: uncultured bacterium
Lineage: Bacteria
Description: partial 16S ribosomal RNA
Rfam family: Bacterial small subunit ribosomal RNA
Source: RNAcentral